AGAACGAUUACCACUUUGUGUUUCAUGACUGGGGUGAAGUCGUAACAAGGUAACCCUAGGGGAACCUGGGGUUGGAUCACCUCCUUACUAUUACGUCGAUGACGCCCUUGAUGCAGUGCCUACACAGAUUGUUUUGUUUAUUUAUAAAGACUCGCUUCGCGAGUGUCGCGAAUAGCUGCUUAAACGGAACUAACCUUCCUGACAGCCAUUCUGCUCGCUAAAGUGGUAGUUGUUUUUAAAUAGAAUGCUAAUCAAUAACAUUAUUAUUGAUUAGUGUUUUUUUAUAAUGCACUAAUGUUCUUUAACAAUUUGGAAAGCUGAUAUUAAUAGUAAUCAAUCAAAAGAGUAAUUGAGAAGUCGAAAGACGCACUUUUUACUCUACUUGACUUGAAUUGCUUGUUAUCGACAGCGCCGUAAGGCGGGUUAAUCGACUUGUUCGGUUAACAAAGA
RNAcentral lists this unclassified non-coding RNA (450 nucleotides) under uncultured Alteromonadaceae bacterium. Its description in RNAcentral is "partial 16S-23S ribosomal RNA intergenic spacer". The stretch from base 1 to 87 matches the Rfam family "Bacterial small subunit ribosomal RNA", at positions 1447 to 1533 of the family's 1533-position model. Lineage: Bacteria; Pseudomonadati; Pseudomonadota; Gammaproteobacteria; Alteromonadales; Alteromonadaceae. The record is from RNAcentral.